Vigna radiata var. radiata (mung bean) is the source of this 1819-nucleotide long non-coding RNA. RefSeq lists it as uncharacterized. The transcript has 4 exons. The record is from RefSeq and is a predicted model, not a curated record. NCBI's taxonomy places the organism in Eukaryota, Viridiplantae, Streptophyta, Magnoliopsida, Fabales, Fabaceae.
UUAUACUGAUUAAUAGUUCAGUUUAAAAAUACUGAACUAUUUUAUUUUGAGUACAGUUAACUGGUUUCAGUUUUCUUAUUUUUUUUCUCUGAAUCACGAUUAGGGUUUCUAUUUCAUUUCUCCAUCACAAUAUCCUAUUUUCGUAUUUCCUAUCUCCUUUAAAGGUUGCCGCCACUCUUGUCGAAAGACUCGCGGAAGGCUCACCACUCGAAGGCUUUGCCGCAUUCUGCCGCCGCCACUUUGCCAUUGCCACCCUUUGUCGUCGCCACCCUCUGCCGUCGCCGCACUCUACCAUCGCUGGAAAGAAAAGCAAAUCUGCAACCUAAAGGCAUUGCAUUUUUGAAAUGGUCGUGUCACUGUGCAAAAGUCGCACUGCUUCAUCACUUAAUUUGUUUGCCAAUACUCUUCGCCGAUUCUCUAUUGGGUGAAAACACCAGUGCUCAAAGAACGCCAGAGAGUAUAGUGAAUCAAAUGAUGUAUUCUGACAUAAACUCACGAAUUGGGAGUUGCAUGCCACUGCCUACAAUGCGAAUUGGAACAAUCAUUCACAACAUUGAAUUGAACCCAGGGUAAGGUGGCAAGCUUGUCCGAGCUGCAGGAACUAGUGCAAAGAUCUCGAAAGAGCCCACAUAAGCAUAUUGUUUAAUCCAGAUGUCCUCUGGUGUUAAAAAGUUAAUUGAUUCUCGGUGUAGGGCCACCAUUGGGCUUGUGUCUAAUCCAAGCCAUGGGGAUCACAAGCUUAGGAAGGUCGGACACAGACGAUGGCUUAGUCGAAGACCUGUUGUUCGAGGAGUGGCUAUGAAUCCCGUAGAUCAUCCUCAUGGGGGAGGAGAGGGUAAAAGCAAGAGUGGUGGAAAAUGGGGAAGAGGAUCUCACUCCUUGUGGCAAGCCAACCAAGGGGGGCUAUAAGACUGGACCCCUGAAGCGCAUAGCAAAGUUAGAGAGCGAAAGGGAAAGCAACCGAAUACGCUUGUAACUUCCCUAAUUACAAAUUUACCAUUUUCACUACGAAUCUCGAGGGUUUUAUUGGAAUUGAAAGAUCCCUGAUCGAUUCUGAUUCGGAAAAUGCCUUCUUCAAGUGCAGCCGAUGUUGGAUCCAUCGACCCCACAACUGCAAGAUAAAACACCAAGCAACCCAAGGCUUGAUGUAAUCUUGAAGAUCUGUAUGACCAGAGGUUUGGAGAAGCAAAGUAGCGGAUGCAAUCCAAUGGAACAGUACCAACAAUGUGAUUCCAGUACAGAUCUGGAUUGUUUGCAGAAACGAAACUUGGUGGAGAUAUGGAGGAUGUUGGCAGCAGAGGUUGUGUUUGCAGAGGUUAGAUGAAAUGGAGGAUAGCUUGAAGAGGUGAAUCACAACUCAGAAGGCCCCCACACUAGGAAGGAAGUUGCAAUGGAGAAGCAAGCAUUGAAGUGACUCUCGGACAUGAGAAAGUGUCUAUGCAUUUCAACAGAGUUUCUCUAAUAUCAUCCAAUGUGCUAAAUGUGCUAGCUUCUAGAAACCAUAUGGAGUACACAUUUAUUUUAAUUCUAAUAUAAGAAAGUUCCCGGUGCACCCUCUAUCAAGCUAAUCUCACCCCUGCAUGUGCAUAAAGGUCUCUUUUACCCCUCUCCAUGUUUUUGGGUUGUUCUUUAUUUGGUGGGCUUGGCCCCCGCAUAUCAUCCCCUCCCCCUUGGAAAGGAUUUGUCCUCAAAUCUGAUGGUUCGCCUGAGGACUUAUUUUUGUAGACUUCACUAGAAUUCCUCCAAGGUCAAAUAUCCACCUGCAAUAAGCAUUAAACAUAUCACUAAUUAGUUUUCUAUGACCCAACAAAAUAUAUAA